Molecule: long non-coding RNA, 290 nt
Filed under: Homo sapiens (human)
Lineage: Eukaryota; Metazoa; Chordata; Mammalia; Primates; Hominidae
Description: HSALNT0093748
Source: RNAcentral
CCCUAAAGUAGGCUUAGUAUCUUUUUUUGGAGGUAGGUUCUCUUACUGUUGGUUCAUGGUCUUAUUAACGAAUAAAGUGGUUUGUGUAAGAGUGUUAAAGUCUGGCUGAGUAAUUUUAAAUUAUGACUUGAAAAUUUAAAUCCAUCUUUGACGUUUGUGUUUUGGCAAUUGUAUUAACAGCAUAUCCCUUGGAGCCUAGACGUUUCGUCGUACACUUUUUCUGCCACUUGUUCUAGUGUACAAUCAUGCUUCUUCCUAGCUAAUGCGCCCUCUGCUUCUAGGUCUCGGAG